GGGGGGGGGGGGGGGGGGGGGGGGGGGGGGGGGGGGGGCGGGGGGGGGCGGGUGGGGGGGUGCGGGGGGGGGGAACGGGGGGGUCACGCGUGGGUGAUGUGCCCUGCACGUCGGGAUAAGCGUGGGAGACGGGGGGUAAUCCGGGCUGAGACGGCGCUGGGGGGGGGGGGGGGGCAGGUUUUUUCGGGGUAGGCUGGGCUCGCGGCCUAUCAGCUUGUUGGUGGGGUAAUGGCCUACCACGGCGGCGACGGGUAGCCGGCCUGAGAGGGUGUACGGCCACAUUGGGACUGAGAUACGGCCCAGACUCCUACGGGAGGCAGCAGUGGGGAAUAUUGCACAAUGGGCGCAAGCCUGAUGCAGCGACGCCGCGUGGGGGAUGAAGGCCUUCGGGUUGUAAACUCCUUUCGCUAGGGACGAAGCUUUUUGUGACGGUACCUAGAUAAGAAGCACCGGCUAACUACGUG
Molecule: ribosomal RNA, 464 nt
Filed under: uncultured bacterium
Lineage: Bacteria
Description: partial 16S ribosomal RNA
Rfam family: Bacterial small subunit ribosomal RNA
Source: RNAcentral